Molecule: RNA transcript, 1049 nt
Organism: Zea mays
Lineage: Eukaryota; Viridiplantae; Streptophyta; Magnoliopsida; Poales; Poaceae
Exons: 4
Source: RefSeq, a predicted model, not a curated record
UAUAGAAGAGUAGAAGACGGUUGUGAGAGUCCUUUCCCUUGGCUGCCUCUGUGUCUUGUCCAUUCCAUGGCUCCGGCCAGCAAAGAGCCGGAUUCUUCCUAUCCCCUACCAAACCCCACCACCACGAGCGGCUGCCGCGCGGGAGACCAGGACGCAUGGUGACUGCCUCCUCCUUCACUGCCAUCUUCUUCAGAAGUGCCUUCGUCGCCUGCUUCGCGGAGCCAAAGUGCAGAUCCAGCUGCAAAGGAAGGCACCAUUAACGCCACCACCUGUGGCUGCAACAGCCACAACUGCUGCUGGUGGAGGGACACUAGCCACAAUAACGUGCAUCGCCAGAGAGGAAGGGGUUGCCACGCUCUAGAAGGGCAUCAUCCUUGGCCCCCACUGUCAGUUCCUCUAUGAUGGCCUCCACAUCGGCCUGUAUGAUCCUGUGAAGGCUUUCUUCGUCAGAGGUGCUGUUGUGGGUGAUGUCAGUUUACUAAGCAAGAUUCUUGCUGCGCUUGCCACAGGUGUGAUAGCUAUUGUUGUGGCAAAUCCAACUGAUCUCGUUAAUGUUAGGUUGCAAGUUGAUGGAAAGGCUAACACUGUCAAGAGGAGUUAUUCUAGAGCCCUUAAUGUAUAUGCUAUAAUAAUCAGACAUGUUACUUUAACCAUCAUGGGCAGUAAGUGUACAAGACUAUUUCUUUUUUCGUUGUCCUUAAAAUCUUUCAUGUUUCCAAGAAGGUAUUGGAGCUUUGUGGACUGGCCUUGGCCCAAAUGUCGCACGCAAUGUCAUAAUUAACGCUGCCGAGUUGGACAACUAUGAUUAGUUCAAACAUGUACCUGUUGACUCUAAUGUCUUUGUGGUGCGCAUUAUAUUUCAUUAUCAUUAUUCAUUCCUUUGUUCUGUUCAUGUAGAUGUUUCUAAAACUUCCUAGGUAUACUGAUAACGUUUUACCCAUAUUUUAGCUGGACUUGGUGCUCAUUUUUUUACUAUUUGCAUUGGCUCUCCGAUGGAUGCAAAUAAGCUUUGACUAAAUAUCUUACUAGCAGUUCACAAGGUUCAACAA